This 578-nucleotide ribosomal RNA is filed under the name uncultured ciliate. Its description in RNAcentral is "SSU rRNA". It matches the Rfam family "Eukaryotic small subunit ribosomal RNA", at positions 375 to 972 of the family's 1831-position model. The record is from RNAcentral. Lineage: Eukaryota; Ciliophora.
GUUCGGUUCCGGAGAGGGAGCCUGAGAAACGGCUACCACUUCUAAGGAAGGCAGCAGGCGCGUAAAUUACCCAAUCCUGAUUCAGGGAGGUAGUGACAAGAAAUAACAACUCGGGGGCUCACGCCUUACGAGAUUGCAAUGAGAACAAUUUAAAAUACUUAUCGGGGAUCAAUUGGAGGGCAAGUCUGGUGCCAGCAGCCGCGGUAAUUCCAGCUCCAAUAGCGUAUAUUAAAGUUGUUGCAGUUAAAAAGCUCGUAGUUGAAUUUCUGGUGAGCUGGUGCCUGUGCUUCGGCCGGGUAACAGUUUCAUCAUCCGUAGGGGAAACCUAUUCGGCCUUCACUGGUCGGUAGGCGGAAUCUACAAUUUACUGUGAAAAAAUUAGAGUGUUUCAGGCAGGCAAUCGCUUGGAUACUCCAGCAUGGAAUAAUGGAAUAGGACUUUUGUCUAUUUGUUGGUUCAAGGCAAAAGUAAUGAUUAACAGGGACAGUUGGGGGCAUUCAUAUUUAAUUGUCAGAGGUGAAAUUCUUGGAUUUAUUAAAGACGAACUUAUGCGAAAGCAUUUGCCAAGGAUGUUUUCA